CCUACGGGAGGCUGCAGUGGGGAAUAUUGGACAAUGGGGGGAACCCUGAUCCAGCCAUGCCGCGUGUGUGAAGAAGGCCCUCGGGUUGUAAAGCACUUUCAGUGAGGAAGAACGCCUGGUGGUUAAUACCCAUCAGGAAAGACAUCACUCACAGAAGAAGCACCGGCUAACUCCGUGCCAGCAGCCGCGGUAAUACGGAGGGUGCGAGCGUUAAUCGGAAUUACUGGGCGUAAAGCGCGCGUAGGUGGCUUGAUAAGCCGGUUGUGAAAGCCCCGGGCUCAACCUGGGAACGGCAUCCGGAACUGUCAUGCUAGAGUGCAGGAGAGGAAGGUAGAAUUCCCGGUGUAGCGGUGAAAUGCGUAGAGAUCGGGAGGAAUACCAGUGGCGAAGGCGGCCUUCUGGACUGACACUGACACUGAGGUGCGAAAGCGUGGGUAGCAAACAGGAUUAGAUACCCCAGUAGUC
This 465-nucleotide ribosomal RNA is filed under the name Vreelandella stevensii. Its description in RNAcentral is "partial 16S ribosomal RNA". It matches the Rfam family "Bacterial small subunit ribosomal RNA", at positions 338 to 795 of the family's 1533-position model. Lineage: Bacteria; Pseudomonadati; Pseudomonadota; Gammaproteobacteria; Oceanospirillales; Halomonadaceae. The record is from RNAcentral.